RNAcentral lists this transfer RNA (87 nucleotides) under Aeriscardovia aeriphila. Its description in RNAcentral is "tRNA-Leu". It matches the Rfam family "tRNA". From Rfam's summary of the family: Transfer RNA (tRNA) molecules are approximately 80 nucleotides in length. Lineage: Bacteria; Bacillati; Actinomycetota; Actinomycetes; Bifidobacteriales; Bifidobacteriaceae. The record is from RNAcentral.
GCGAACGUGGCGGAAUGGUAGACGCGCUGGCUUCAGGUGCCAGUGACCGCUAAGGUCGUGAGGGUUCAACUCCCUCCGUUCGCACCA